RNAcentral lists this ribosomal RNA (542 nucleotides) under uncultured fungus. Its description in RNAcentral is "eukaryotic LSU rRNA". The stretch from base 196 to 349 matches the Rfam family "5.8S ribosomal RNA". Lineage: Eukaryota; Fungi. The record is from RNAcentral.
AAGUCGUAACAAGGUCUCCGUUGGUGAACCAGCGGAGGGAUCAUUACCGAGUUUACAACUCCCAAACCCCUGUGAACAUACCUAUACGUUGCCUCGGCGGAUCAGCCCGCGCCCCGUAAAACGGGACGGCCCGCCCGAGGACCCCUAAACUCUGUUUUUAGUGGAACUUCUGAGUAAAACAAACAAAUAAAUCAAAACUUUCAACAACGGAUCUCUUGGUUCUGGCAUCGAUGAAGAACGCAGCAAAAUGCGAUAAGUAAUGUGAAUUGCAGAAUUCAGUGAAUCAUCGAAUCUUUGAACGCACAUUGCGCCCGCCAGUAUUCUGGCGGGCAUGCCUGUCCGAGCGUCAUUUCAACCCUCAAGCUCAGCUUGGUGUUGGGACUCGCGGUAACCCGCGUUCCCCAAAUCGAUUGGCGGUCACGUCGAGCUUCCAUAGCGUAGUAAUCAUACACCUCGUUACUGGUAAUCGUCGCGGCCACGCCGUAAAACCCCAACUUCUGAAUGUUGACCUCGGAUCAGGUAGGAAUACCCGCUGAACUUAA